This 554-nucleotide ribosomal RNA is filed under the name uncultured bacterium. RNAcentral describes it as "partial 16S ribosomal RNA". It matches the Rfam family "Bacterial small subunit ribosomal RNA", at positions 355 to 900 of the family's 1533-position model. The record is from RNAcentral.
UAGGGAAUCUUCCACAAUGGACGCAAGUCUGAUGGAGCAACGCCGCGUGAGUGAAGAAGGUCUUCGGAUCGUAAAGCUCUGUUGUUGGUGAAGAAGGAUAGAGGCAGUAACUGGUCUUUAUUUGACGGUAAUCAACCAGAAAGUCACGGCUAACUACGUGCCAGCAGCCGCGGUAAUACGUAGGUGGCAAGCGUUGUCCGGAUUUAUUGGGCGUAAAGCGAGCGCAGGCGGAAUGAUAAGUCUGAUGUGAAAGCCCACGGCUCAACCGUGGAACUGCAUCGGAAACUGUCAUUCUUGAGUGCAGAAGAGGAGAGUGGAACUCCAUGUGUAGCGGUGGAAUGCGUAGAUAUAUGGAAGAACACCAGUGGCGAAGGCGGCUCUCUGGUCUGCAACUGACGCUGAGGCUCGAAAGCAUGGGCAGCGAACAGGAUUAGAUACCCUGGUAGUCCAUGCCGUAAACGAUGAGCGCUAGGUGUUGGGGACUUUCCGGUCCUCAGUGCCGCAGCAAACGCAUUAAGCGCUCCGCCUGGGGAGUACGACCGCAAGGUUGAAAC